RNAcentral lists this transfer-messenger RNA (372 nucleotides) under Cnuella takakiae. Its description in RNAcentral is "Standard tmRNA". It matches the Rfam family "transfer-messenger RNA". Rfam says of the family: Bacterial tmRNA, also known as 10Sa RNA or SsrA, is named for its dual tRNA and mRNA-like properties. The record is from Rfam by way of RNAcentral. Lineage: Bacteria; Pseudomonadati; Bacteroidota; Chitinophagia; Chitinophagales; Chitinophagaceae.
GGGGGUGUUUGGCUUUGACAGCAUAGAUCUUUGAGCGUGUAAGCAUGUCGAGCGUUGGAUAAUUAGCUCGUAAAUCUGAAUACCCAAACUCUAAAUGGCGAAUCUAACUUUGCCAUGGCUGCCUAAUCAGUGAUUAAGUAGUCAUUAGGGCCGCCGCACAGGUUUGCCUUUUACCAAGUGCCGCCGCCGACUCAAAACAAAUAAAGGUUGCUGCAAGGGAAGGCUGUGACCCUUGCUUAAGACCAUCCAGCUAAGUAUUGCAUUGGUUUGUUCCGUUCCUGUGCAGUGCCGACAAACAAUUCGGAAAUAAACAUGUAGAAAGCGUUUGAAUAUCAUGUUUGGACAGCGGUUCGACUCCGCUCACCUCCACUU